This 470-nucleotide long non-coding RNA is filed under the name Bos taurus (domestic cattle). RNAcentral describes it as "long non-coding RNA NONBTAT026808". The record is from RNAcentral. Lineage: Eukaryota; Metazoa; Chordata; Mammalia; Artiodactyla; Bovidae.
GAUGGAAGGCUGUGUUGGCGAAAGUGCCAAGUGUUUGAUAUGACUCAGAGUCAGAAAUAUUGACUUUGUGGUGUUGAAAAAGUGGCCUUAAAUAAGUCAUUUUCUCUUACUAACCCUUAUUUCCCUAGGUGUCAUGACUUCAUUGUAAUUUACACAUACCUGAUGCAUUGUAGACUUCCUUUUCUAUCCUAUUAGUUAGGUUUGGAGGGAAAAUGUUUUGUACUUUGGCAUGCUUUAGUGAAAUUUUAUGACCUUUUCUGCCCUCUCAUUCCCUUCUUCAAAGAGAAACAAUUAGCAUAAUUUAACAUCAUGCUUGUUCAGGCAAUGAUGUUUAAUGCAGGUUAACAAACAGAAAAGGGAAUCUCUGUCUCCCACAGAUUAAGGAAUUUUUACAACACAAUUCUGUGAGUUUGCCAACCUGUUCAAUAGACCAGGACAGUGUCUUUGCUCUGCCUUCAAAGCUGUCUUGU